UACCUUAAGAUCAACCAAUUUAAGGCAAGCCCUGCCCAGUGAAUACCAUUAAACGGCCGCGGUAUCCUAACCGUGCAAAGGUAGCAUAAUAACUUGCCUAUUAAUUAUAGGAUAGAAUGAACGGGUAAACGAAAUAGAACCUGUCUCGAUUAGUUAAAUGAAAAUUAUUCUUUAGUUGAAGAAAACUAAAUAAAACUGAAGGACAAGAAGACCCUAUAGAGCUUCAUUUUCACACCUAAAGAAAGCUCAUAAAAUUCGGUUGGGGCGACCAAUGCUACAACAAUCAUCAAUAACCAACAAGAUAAAUCCAUCCCAAAAAAGACCCUAUAUUAGAUCAAAAAAACAAGCUACCUUAGGGAUAACAGGCUAAUCUCAUUAAUGAGUUCUUAUCUAUAAUGUUAGUUGGCACCUCGAUGUUGGCUUAGGGAAUCAAGGCGGCGCAGAAGCUGCUUAAGACGGUUUGUUCAACCAUUAAACCCCUA
RNAcentral lists this ribosomal RNA (482 nucleotides) under Pontoscolex spiralis. RNAcentral describes it as "partial 16S large subunit ribosomal RNA". It matches the Rfam family "Bacterial large subunit ribosomal RNA", at positions 1829 to 2598 of the family's 2925-position model. Lineage: Eukaryota; Metazoa; Annelida; Clitellata; Crassiclitellata; Glossoscolecidae. The record is from RNAcentral.